Molecule: ribosomal RNA, 1335 nt
Filed under: Melanostoma orientale
Lineage: Eukaryota; Metazoa; Arthropoda; Insecta; Diptera; Syrphidae
Description: 16S ribosomal RNA
Source: RNAcentral
UUAAUAAUUAUUUAUUAAUUUUAUAAUUUUAUUUAUAUUAUUAUUAUUAAAAAUAAUUAUAAAUUUAAAUGUUUUAGUAUAUUAUAUAAAAAAAAUAAAAUUAUUAAUAGUUUAUUAGUAUUGUAAAAUAAUAUUGAAAUAUAAUGAAAAAUUUUUGUUUUAAAAGAAAAUUUUAUUUAUUGUAUCUUGUGUAUCAGAGUAUAUUAAAUAAAAAAUAAUUAUUUUAUUUUUCUCGAUUUUAAAAGAUUUAAUAAAUUAUAAAAAUUAAUGUAAUAAAAUUAUUUUUAAUAAUUUAUUAGAAAUGAAAUGUUAUUCGUUUUUAAAGGUAUCUAGUUUUUUAAGAAAUAAAUUAAAUUUAAAUUUUUAAAAUUUAUUUAUUUAUUUUUUUUAAUUAAAUAAUUUUUAAAAAUUAAUAUUUUAUGGGAUAAGCUAUAAAAUAAAUUUUUAUAAAUAAUAAAUAUAAUUUAAAUAUUAUAUGUUUAGAAUUAUCAAUUAUUAUUAAAUUUGUUAUAAAUUAAUUUUUACAAUAAAUUAUUUAUUAUAUUUUAAAUUUUUAUUAAAAUAUUUUUUUUAACAAUAAAAAUAAAAUAAUAAUGAUAUAAUUAGUAUAUUAUAAUUUAAUUAAUUUUUUUAAAAUGAAAAGUUUAUUUAAAGAAUUCGGCAAAAAUAAUAUUCGCCUGUUUAACAAAAACAUGUCUUUUAGAAUUUAAUUUAAAGUCUAACCUGCCCAAUGAUUUUUUUUAAUGGCCGCAGUAUUUUAACUGUGCAAAGGUAGCAUAAUCAUUAGUCUUUUAAUUGAAGGCUGGAAUGAAUGGUUGGACGAAAUAUUAACUGUUUCAUUUGAAAUUAUAAUAAAAUUUUAUUUUUUAAUUAAAAAGUUAAAAUCUAAUUAAAAGACGAGAAGACCCUAUAAAUCUUUAUAUAUUUAUUAAUUUUAAUUUUAAAGAUUUUUUUAAUUAUAAUAAAUAAAUAUAUUUUAUUGGGGUGAUAUUAAAAUUUAAUUAACUUUUAAAUAUUUAAAUCAUUAAUUUAUGAAUAAUUGAUCCAAUUAUAUUGAUUAAAAAUUUAAGUUACUUUAGGGAUAACAGCGUAAUUUUUUUGGAGAGUUCAUAUUGAUAAAAAAGAUUGCGACCUCGAUGUUGGAUUAAGAUAUAAUUUUAGGUGUAGCCGUUUAAAUUUAAAGUCUGUUCGACUUUUAAAAUCUUACAUGAUCUGAGUUCAAACCGGUGUAAGCCAGGUUGGUUUCUAUCUUUAAUAAAUUAAAAUAUUUUAGUACGAAAGGAUUAAAUAUUAAAUUAAUUAUAAUUUAAAAAUAAGAAUAUUAUUAAUAAUUUA